AUUGAACGCUGGCGGCAUGCUUUACACAUGCAAGUCGAACGGCAGCGGGGAGGAGCUUGCUUCUCUGCCGGCGAGUGGCGAACGGGUGAGUAAUACAUCGGAACGUGUCGAGAAGAGGGGGAUAACCACCCGAAAGGGUGGCUAAUACCGCAUAAAUUCUGAGGAAGAAAGCUGGGGACCUAGGAAUAGGCCUAGCGCUUUUUGAGCGGCCGAUGUCGGAUUAGCUAGUUGGUGAGGUAAAGGCUCACCAAGGCGAAGAUCUGUAGCGGGUCUGAGAGGAUGAUCCCCCACACUGGGACUGAGCCACGGCCCAGACUCCUACGGGAGGCAGCAGUGGGGAAUUUUGGACAAUGGGGGCAACCCUGAUCCAGCCAUGCCGCGUGUAUGAAGAAGGCCUUAGGGUUGUAAAGUACUUUUGUUAGGGAAGAAAAGUCAGCUGUGAAUAAUGGCUGAUACUGACGGUACCUAAAGAAUAAGCACCGGCUAACUACGUG
RNAcentral lists this ribosomal RNA (494 nucleotides) under uncultured bacterium. RNAcentral describes it as "partial 16S ribosomal RNA". It matches the Rfam family "Bacterial small subunit ribosomal RNA", at positions 30 to 507 of the family's 1533-position model. The record is from RNAcentral.